Molecule: ribosomal RNA, 254 nt
Filed under: uncultured bacterium
Lineage: Bacteria
Description: partial 16S ribosomal RNA
Rfam family: Bacterial small subunit ribosomal RNA
Source: RNAcentral
CACGUAGGGACCAAGCGUUGUCCGGAUUUAUUGGGCGUAAAGAGCUCGUAGGCGGUUCGGUAAGUCGGGUGUGAAAACUCUGGGCUCAACUCAGAGAUGCCACCCGAUACUGCCGUGACUUGAGUCCGGUAGGGGAGCACGGAAUUCCUGGUGUAGCGGUGAAAUGCGCAGAUAUCAGGAGGAACACCGAUGGCGAAGGCAGUGAUCUGGGCCGAUACUGACGCUGAGGAGCGAAAGCGUGGGGAGCGAACAGG